This is a non-coding RNA of Vicia faba (fava bean), 318 nucleotides long. NCBI's taxonomy places the organism in Eukaryota, Viridiplantae, Streptophyta, Magnoliopsida, Fabales, Fabaceae. The record is from the annotation of a GenBank genome assembly.
CACACCGCUGCAACAAAUAUUCGACUCGUCUUCAUCCUAUACACGCGACCGAGCUCGUUCUUCUUUCUCCGUAAGCUCCACUUUCAAUUUCUAGCUAUAGCUUUUUUCUAUUCUUUCUAUUUCUCUUUUCAAUUAACGCUUAAUAUCGAUUUUUCUUUCUCCAUUUUUGCGUUACGAUUAACCUCUCGCAACGCCGAUGUACCUGAAAACCUAGCUCAUUCGUUUGUAUAUGUUGAAUCCAUUUUUCAAUUUCUUUUUAUUGUUUCAGCUACCUUAGGGUAUGUUAAUGUUAAUCAAUCCGCGUUUUUUAUAUGUUGA